Molecule: ribosomal RNA, 213 nt
Filed under: Triticum aestivum (bread wheat)
Lineage: Eukaryota; Viridiplantae; Streptophyta; Magnoliopsida; Poales; Poaceae
Description: partial small subunit ribosomal RNA
Source: RNAcentral
AUGGGCGAUGGGGUAGAAGAAGAAGGGAGGUCAAACACAAAUCAGAAAAGAGUUGAAGAAGAUGUUGUACCUGACGAGCAGCAAGAAAGAAGAUCGCCAAAGAGGAAUCAGCAACAGGAUCCACAGGUCAGCAAAAAAAGUCCCAACUUCUCUCUCCACCUCUCGCAUGAACAGAUCAUGGAGGAAUUUCCUUCAUCAACAAAAAGAAGAUAG